AGGACGAACGCUGGCGGCGUGCUUAACACAUGCAAGUCGAGCGGUAAGGCCUUUCGGGGUACACGAGCGGCGAACGGGUGAGUAACACGUGGGUGAUCUGCCCUGCACUCUGGGAUAAGCCUGGGAAACUGGGUCUAAUACCGGAUAUGACCUGCUCUCGCAGUGGGGGGUGGGUGGAAAGAUUUAUCGGUGCAGGAUGGGCCCGCGGCCUAUCAGCUUGUUGGUGGGGUAAUGGCCUACCAAGGCGACGACGGGUAGCCGACCUGAGAGGGUGACCGGCCACACUGGAACCGAGACACGGUCCAGACUCCUACGGAGGCAGCAGUGGGAAUAUGCACAAUGGGCGCAAGCCUGAUGCAGCAACGCCGCGUGAGGACGACGGCCUUCGGGUUGUAAACCUCGUUUAGUAGGAAGAAGGCGUUCGGUCGUGACGGUACCUGUACGAGAAAAGCGACCGACUAACUACGUGCCAGCAGCCGC
RNAcentral lists this ribosomal RNA (480 nucleotides) under uncultured soil bacterium. RNAcentral's name for it is "bacterial SSU rRNA". It matches the Rfam family "Bacterial small subunit ribosomal RNA", at positions 26 to 518 of the family's 1533-position model. The record is from RNAcentral.